This 351-nucleotide unclassified non-coding RNA is filed under the name soil metagenome. RNAcentral's name for it is "partial contains 5.8S ribosomal RNA, internal transcribed spacer 2, and large subunit ribosomal RNA". The stretch from base 1 to 120 matches the Rfam family "5.8S ribosomal RNA", at positions 35 to 154 of the family's 154-position model. The record is from RNAcentral.
GAUGAAGAACGUAGCGAAAUGCGAUAAGUAAUGUGAAUUGCAGAAUUCCGUGAAUCAUCGAAUCUUUGAACGCACAUUGCGCCCCCUGGCAUUCCGGGGGGCAUGCCUGUCCGAGCGUCAUUUCUGCCCUCAAGCCCGGCUUGUGUGUUGGGCGUGGUCCCCCCGGUUUAGGGGGGACCUGCCCGAAAGGCAGCGGCGACGUUCCGCCUUGGUCCUCGAGCGUAUGGGGCUUUGUCACCCGCUCGGGAGGGGCCUACGGGCGUUGGCCAUCCACCAUUUAUUUUUUUUACGGUUGACCUCGGAUCAGGUAGGAGUUACCCGCUGAACUUAAGCAUAUCAAUAAGCGGAGGA